CAUUAGCUGCAGAAUAAGCACCGGCUAACUCUGUGCCAGCAGCCGCGGUAAUACAGAGGGUGCAAGCGUUAAUCGGAAUUACUGGGCGUAAAGCGAGCGUAGGUGGCUUGAUAAGUCAGAUGUGAAAUCCCCGGGCUUAACCUGGGAACUGCAUCUGAAACUGUUAGGCUAGAGUAGGUGAGAGGGAAGUAGAAUUUCAGGUGUAGCGGUGAAAUGCGUAGAGAUCUGAAGGAAUACCGAUGGCGAAGGCAGCUUCCUGGCAUCAUACUGACACUGAGGCUCGAAAGCGUGGGUAGCAAACAGGAUUAGAUACCCUGGUAGUCCACGCCGUAAACGAUGUCUACUAGUCGUUGGGUCCCUUGAGGACUUAGUGACGCAGCUAACGCAAUAAGUAGACCGCCUGGGGAGUACGGCCGCAAGGUUAAAACUCAAAUGAAUUGACGGGGGCCCGCACAAGCGGUGGAGCAUGUGGUUUAAUUCGAUGCAACGCGAAGAACCUUACCUGGUCUUGACAUAUCUAGAAUCCUGCAGAGAUGCGGGAGUGCCUUCGGGAAUUAGAAUACAGGUGCUGCAUGGCUGUCGUCAGCUCGUGUCGUGAGAUGUUGGGUUAAGUCCCGCAACGAGCGCAACCCUUGUCCUUAGUUACCAGCGGGUUAAGCCGGGAACUCUAAGGAUACUGCCAGUGACAAACUGGAGGAAGGCGGGGACGACGUCAAGUCAUCAUGGCCCUUACGACCAGGGCUACACACGUGCUACAAUGGUAGGUACAGAGGGCAGCUACACAGCGAUGUGAUGCGAAUCUCAAAAAGCCUAUCGUAGUCCAGAUUGGAGUCUGCAACUCGACUCCAUGAAGUAGGAAUCGCUAGUAAUCGCGGAUCAGAAUGCCGCGGUGAAUACGUUCCCGGGCCUUGUACACACCGCCCGUCACACCAUGGGAGUUGAUUGCACCAGAAGUGGAUAGCUUAACCUUCGGGGAGGCGUCACC
Molecule: ribosomal RNA, 985 nt
Filed under: Psychrobacter sp. 27F07-Zb1-6b
Lineage: Bacteria; Pseudomonadati; Pseudomonadota; Gammaproteobacteria; Moraxellales; Moraxellaceae
Description: bacterial SSU rRNA
Rfam family: Bacterial small subunit ribosomal RNA
Source: RNAcentral